GUUCGUAUAGCGCAAUGGAAAGCGCGUUGGACGUCUAAUCCAAAGGUCGUGGAUUCGAAUACCACCUGGGAUG
This is a non-coding RNA of Trichonephila clavata, 73 nucleotides long. NCBI's taxonomy places the organism in Eukaryota, Metazoa, Arthropoda, Arachnida, Araneae, Nephilidae. The record is from the annotation of a GenBank genome assembly.